CUCUGGAGCGCUGUUCUCGCUCCUUUUGCGCGCCAUUUACGCAAAAGAUAAACGCUCUAAUGUGCGCUUCUGCAGUCGAGCUCCAAGCUGUUCGGAAGCUCAAAACACGAGUGUUUUGACUUCAGAAGGAUCAAGACUGAGGUUGAAUUCAUGUCCGCAUGGAAAUCAGGAAGUAGGAGGACCCGACUGUGAAGGCAGCGGCAGCACUCAGGCAGGCAUUCGCUGGAUGAAUGGGAGUUUGUCUGCUGCUUGGAAGCGGAUGGGGAGAGGCUCUUGCGUGCCCACGACCGGGAUCCGUCAGCGAGAGAACGACACAGGCUUUGCAGCUGAACGCACAGCGACAGCAGGCUUAUACCUCGUGAAUUUCUGCCCAAUGUUAAUGUGAUCUGCCUCCGUCACUGUCUUUACAGAGGAAACUGGCCGUGCGCUUUGUUGGAUUGGUUUGCUCCGUCGGACCUAGCCCCUCUCUGCGCACCGACACAUAAACCCUCCCGGAUCCUGUUUGUGACCUCUCACGGAUAUUUCGGCAGGAGAAUAUAUGUGAGAAAAAUCAGUGUCCCGAGCAAGAAAAGAGAAGUGGCUCAGGGGAUUUUUCCUCGUCGCCCCAGUGCUGUUGCAGAAGCUCUCCCUGACUAGACACAUGUUUCCCUUUGUCCAAAAGGCGCAGUAGCUUUGUGAACGGCUUUGGGAUUUUUUUUUCCUUGGAAAGGCUUCUUCUCUCCCCGCAUGGCUGUUCUCAAUUUAAACGGAGUAGACUUCGCCGCCCCUUGUGUGGAUUAUAUUAUUUGAAAAGCAGAAUGUGAAACGAGGCCAUAUUUAUCAGACCGAGAAAGUAAUAACCUGACUUAUUGCUUUCCCCCCCUAACCUUUCCACAUCAAAGGUCUCCAAUGCUGGCUCCGAAAAGUUUUUCAGCACAGCUGCAGUUAAAGUUCCAGAUUUUGGCAUCGAUGUACUCUCUACCAAUGGCAGC
Monopterus albus (swamp eel) is the source of this 971-nucleotide long non-coding RNA. RefSeq lists it as uncharacterized. Lineage: Eukaryota; Metazoa; Chordata; Actinopteri; Synbranchiformes; Synbranchidae. The record is from RefSeq and is a predicted model, not a curated record. The transcript has 3 exons.